AGGUCACGCUCAGGCUUUUCGUCACUUUCCCCACUAGCUUUGGCCUUCCUGCAUUCCUGACAUUUGAAGUGAAUUCCUCCUAACAUGUAUGUGUGCAGCUGUGUGUGUUAGCCUUCUGUUAUUAUUGAAAUAUCAUAUACGUGCAGAUUAGCUGCACCCUCAGCUGUGGUCCGAUUACAGGACGGGAUGAGGUAAAUGUUUACACCCACAAAGGCAGAAACAGAAACGGGCCCACGAAAAGUGACAGACGGAUGCGAGCCUUUCACCACAGGUUUUAGCAGCAGGCUGAUAAAAUGGUUUGGUGUUAAAAGAUGUUUGUCCUCCUCACUCUGUAUUGUGGGUUCAAGAGUACAAAUGUUAAAUGGGUUUGAAGAAAAUAAAGAACAAGUAAAUACUUUUCUUUAAAUGUCUUAAUCGCAGCUACAGCAAUUACCUGCACUUUUGCCAACAUGGUUCACAUUUUGUGUGUUAGUGCAUGAAAUCCUCGCUGCCCCGUUGACUGAAGAAUCUAUCUGCUGCCCUCCAGUGGCAGAAGGCUGCACCAGCAAAUAGAGGCAGCUUUAGCCAACAGAAUGAAAACAUUUCUGUUCUCUCUUGUGUAUUCGUGUGUUGUUUUUCUCUCUGUUUGUAAUGGAAGCCGUACAGAAACAGCAAACACAACAGAUUCGGUUCCUUCAUUGUCAUCCAGGAAAGAACGCAUAUUUCACAAGUAUAAGUGUAACUCUAAAAUACAGUACAAUGAUUUAUUUUGAACUUUUGAAUGCUUUAAUGUUGUACUGUACAGUGUAUGCUCUCUAUAUAAAUUGCGUUCAGCUAAAACUUUAAUGUUCUGCUGUAACUGCUGCUCAUCAUGUAUCGUGCAUUAAUACAGUCUAUUCAUUGUAAGGUAUUGUCCUUGUUGCUGAACUUAAGAGUUUGUGUGAAGUAAAAUAAUAAACACUAUUUAUAUUUUCUACUUAGGUAAGUGCAAAAAAGGUGCAAAGUGCAAAGUUCUGCUUUUAAAAUCAUAUGAAGUAUAAUACACAAAAUGUAUUUAACUGAUCAGAUAAAAGCACUUGACUUGUGUUGUUACUAAUGUGUUUUUGAGUAUUUAAAUGUUUCCGCUGGUUGGGACGAACCUUACAUUUGAUUAUGCUGACGGACAGUUUAGUCCUCUGAGUCUGGCUACCUUAAAGGGUCCCGGAAUUAAUAUACAGUUGCUGGACAGUCUGCCAGCUGUCGGAUAAGCAUACUAAAAUAAAACUAACAUUUAAAUGUAUGUAUGUAGUAUUUAAGUGCGCUUCCUUCCCACCACCAGUUUUUAAGGCGACUGUCCCUCAAAGUUUCACAGCUGAAACUAAAAUCCAUGAAACUGAGAGCUGAGUGUCUUCCACGUCUAUGUGCAAGUUUCACAUCAUCCUGUGCGUGACGUUCUGGUUUACACCCAAACUGCUGUAAUGUGACGUAUUAAUUUCGUCCUCUGUCAGGUAGUUAAUGUUAAUCCACUUUGUUACAGCACCAGAAAAUGAGUAAAGAUAGACACACACACCUCCCCCAACUGAAUCCUCCGGCCGACGCAGACUCGCCCUCCUCACGCUGCUCUCCCUCUGAUCCUAUAUCUGUCUGUCUUUUUGAUUCAAACUCACACUUCUCCCAAUACGGCAGUGCCCUUGGCAGCCGCGGUGCUGGAUCAGACCGGCAGUGUUCCCGGGUCUGGACUGGGGAGGAGCAGGUGUACUGCUGUCAACAGAGGCGCAGAAAUACUUGGCCAGCGAUCGGAGAUGGAUUACACGUUUAUGUCAUCAUAUUAAAGGCACUCUGUCAGCAAACAAAUUUUCUUACAUGGGAGUAAAGUCCCCACAGAGCGAGGGAGUGUGAGAAACCUCUUUCCGCUGUGUGCGCCGCGUUCAGUGGCAGUCUGACAAAUGGGUCGUUCGGUUGAAGGACGGACGCGGCGCCGCCGCCGCCUCCUUCUGAAAUAAUAACACUUUUGUUGCUGUUGAAGCCAGGUGACACAUUUACUACUCUUUAUGCUGUUAUUUUAGUCUCCCGUUUCAUUCCCUGCCUGCCUGUCUCCUCUGCAGCUGUGAGGUCCCCCGUGUGUCCAAAUAAAGACUGCAAGCGGCCCUAGCAGCGCCCUGACUGGACGUUGCCUUUUCGCCGUGUUACCCACAGUGCUUUGCCGUGCCCCAUUCCGCUGGUGUCGGACAGUGACUUUAGAGGCCGGACGGAGCUCCACAUGUCCCUCCUCAGGCCUUGAGCACGGUGUAUUUGGCAUGCUCAGAAUAAGCCCAAUGAUCUCCAAUUACCCUCCUCUCAGGGAUUGUUUGGUGUCACUUGCCGUCUGGAUAUGAUGAUUCUGCUCCCACAGUGUAAAAGGAUAGUUCCACAGUUCUUUUGGCAUGUACUGUUACAACUCAAUUGGAGCAGUGAGCCACAGUGAUCCCGGCCCCGUCAAUUAUAAAAUUCAAGCUGUUCAGGGUACAAGUGUUACCUCGGCGCUCGCUUGUUCUCGCCCUCUUAAGCACGGCGGACGCAUUCUGCCUCACCUGUUGAUAAGUGAGGUUUCCACGUGAAGCAGGGAAUUGUGCAGCUGGCGUGCUGGCUGCUUGGAAACCAAACAGACCAGGGCGGCGCACAGACAAAAGAUGUGAAGUAGUUUACUGGCGACGGGAUAUUGAGUGCUUUAACCUUUAAUAAACUGCAGCAUAUGACAGAAUAUAUGAAGCUUCCUCAUGGUCAGUCAGAAGACCUGAAACCAAAGCACUCAUUCAUCUGACACUUGGAUGCAGAAUCUGCCGACCUAUCAGAUUUUGAGAAACUCAGACAGGACACAUCCAUCAUUGCUCUAAUGUGAAAAUAGAACGUGAAACGGACCGGAACAGGCUCACAUUUUGUGCCAGUGAGAAAGCUUUCUGCUCCGCUUUCUGUAUCACAUCCUCACAUGCACUGCUAAGUCUGGUGAAAAAAGAGUUGACCAUACUCAAAUACUGUACCGUAAGCAUUCGGGGUGCACCGGCUGACCUGAUAUGGGCCCACGGGUGCAGGUUGCCGUGUGACACCAUGCCUGAGAGGACGGCCGCGACGGUGAUGAGCCGAAGGUGGAAUUCUGAAUGGAAACACCAUCUGUCCAUCUCUUUGUCUCCUUAAACAUUUAUUUUAUUUUAUUUUGUUCUUUUAAACUCUUUUGUUUUCUUUUCUUUUCUCCUCUUGAGAAUCAGAGAUGGACUGAAUGGUGACGCUGGUGCCUCCUGGGAACAACAUCCUGAUGCUGUCUGGGUGUGUAAAGCGGAACUCCAGCAUCAGUGAUUUUGUUGCCAGUGGGAGGACUAAAACCGCUGGAAAAUCAUAUUCAAAUCAUAUUAAAUUAAAAGUUUUGAAAGUUACACGAUGAUAAGAAAUUGAUCUGUAACUCAGGGUUAAAUAAAAAUGUACAGUAGCGGUGUGGAUGACAGCAAGCGUAAUCAUAUUUAUAGCCCUAUGAUCCAGGCAGCUGCAGCAAUGUGAUGUGUAUUACAAGUCUUUAAAUCUUAUAGCAACAGAAGAAAUUAAAUGUGUGUAUUUCAUUGUUAUGUUGUGAUUUGAUCUGUUUUUAUUUUGUGUUUUUUUUUUUUUAGUUUGUUUCUUUCUGCUGUCUGCUGUUCUGCUUUAGACCUGAAGAGGGAGCUAACGUUAGGCUUUGAGACAAAGAAGAUCAUUCUCACAGGAUGUAAUUGAACCUCAGUUGUCUUAAAUAUCAUUAUCAUGAUUACUAUUAUUAAACAACGACUGUGCAAUUGCAUGACUUUAAUGGAUGUAAUUAUUAACCCCAUCACUGAUGCUAAAGAUGAUGUUUUGUUUUCUUGUCAAGUUGAGCUUUUAUUUUGGUGCCUUCUUUGUGAGAUCUACUUUCUGGUUGGUGUGUCUUCACAGGAGUGCACACAUUAAAAUGAAGCCACUGGACUGGAGUUGUACCGAGGAGUAAAGGGGGAGAAAGGGGGAGCGUGUAGGCUUAUAUACAGUAUGGUAUCAUUUGUACAGCAAACAUCUUAAUAUUAAACUUUUUUGAAAAAUGCUUGGUUCACUUACCCUCGAAUGCAUUAUCAUUUUGCUGUUGCACAGUCUCACUGCUCACUUUCCUCCUGUCUGUAAGGAUUCACCAACAAAAUACCUCAUAAACCAUGUUUGGUUUCUCUCUUGGGGAAAAAUAAAACCUACUGGGCUGUGUUUAUUCAAAUAAACGAGCAAGAACCAGAGAGAAACCUUCAUCCAGUAACUCUUGAGCUGAAACUACCUGGCAACCUGGGAGCAUCUCUACUGGUUGAGAUCUCUGCAUCACAGGUUGCACGUAAAGACGCCGAGCAAAUGCAGAUAAUUAUCCUUCAACAAGACUGCACAGCUUGGAAACUUCACUAUGAUAUAAAUCAAAGAUAAAAUGAGAUGAGCCUGCAGCUAACAGACAAAGUUAACGGCGCAAUAAAGAGACAGUGAAGAAGGACAUGACACAGACCAACCCCGUAAUGCAGUGCAACAGAGGCUGAGGUAUCUGCCUGGCUCAUUUCCCAUGAUGCACAUCCGUAGUGUCGUUUAUUAGCCCCUCCCUCGGAGGCAGUUUCUUUCAAACUCAUCACGUGUGCAUUGCAGGGUUUUUUUCUUUUGGCUUUCCGACCUGACACAAAGCUUGAAGCAGUAAUCAGAUAAGACGGGAUGUCCUGCGACGAGCAAGCUGCCUCUCAUGUGUAAAGUGGACUGUCGGAUCCGUAAAACACAAUUUGGGUGCACUGGUCAUAAACAUUUUACUCCGUCCAAGACGGCCUGCACAAGUUAAUAAAAGACAAUAAAGUGAACACAGUUCGUUGCCGUAACUUAUGACUUAUAUUGUCCCUGCUAUAUUUGUUAAAUAUUAUAAAAUCUAUAAGGAUCCUGUGUGAACACAGGACUGAUGCAGACUGUUAAUAAGAUGAAUGACUCUCUCUGCUGCAGCCACUUACACUCGUGUUGUUUCCUGUCAGCAUGAGGCAGCUGUGUUACAUUAGACCAGAUAAGUUAUUGAUCUCCAUCUUGCACCCUGCGGCAAGAAGGUCAGAAGCCUCCGGGGAGUGCACCGUACACGUGAGCCCUCCGUCCUUUCCCUGCCCUCGCAUCACUCUCCUUCUUCUCCACCAUCUUCUCUCACCCCCCCACCCCACACCACCCCACCCCACCUUCUCUGUGCAUCCCUCUGUCUCUGUCUCUCCCCAUAUGUUUCGCCCGUCUCGUUCGGCGUCCCCUGUAAGUCCGGCUGCAGUAGCGGCGGGGCGAUGACUGGGGCUCGCAGGAUGCAAGAGGUAAAAUUCUUCAUGGGUGGAGCCACUCUGGUUAUUUCUCUGGACCGUUUGAAUUGGCUUUCUCAAAGGAGAUGUGGCGACAAAGGAAGAACAAAAAGUGGUGAGGAGCUAAAUUUGUGGAUACCCUCCGGUCAGAUGCUUCAGGCUGAUGAGGAGAAAAGGUCACUCAUCUGCUUCUGCAUCCGUGAUGGAAGGGGAAGAGCCGCCCUAAAGCCGUGGAGGACCACUGACUGCAGAUCAAGCUCGAGAUCAUCAGCCUUCUCUCUGUCUCCUCGAUACUGUUCACUUCUCAGAGAGCCUACCCAACAAUCAGCAUUUACUUCCCUAGAUCCCUUUGUUACAGAUUUCUCAAAGGAGGAUGCUUGGACAAGACUUAUAUUAAAUAUGCGGGACAUUAUUAGUAUGAUCGUUAAAAAUUUAAACAUGGCAACCAAGCAGGAUACAAUCACAAUGGAUGCCAGCUGUAGGUUUAUUAUACUCUGCGAUGACGCCGUACCAGAGCAACUUAUUGGCAUGUAUUCCAGUCGGGACUGUGCAACAUUCAUUGGGAAUGCUGGUCGUCAAAUGACUAUGGAUUUAAAAAAGCCGACUGUCCAGUGGCCCCUUAGCCCCAACACCAGCUCUGAGGAUGACCAAAUUGGAAAUGUUAUCAAAGACAAUUUAAACACAUGCAGCCUGAGAAGUCUUCUGAAAUCCUCCCAAAACAACAACCAUCCAGGGGGAUUAUCCAGACGGGAUGGAAGUGUGAAAAUGAAGAAGAGUGUGUCCUUCGAUGAAGAUGUUACGGUGUACCUGUUUGAUCAGGUACUGCUCUCCUGUUUUACUUUCUAACUCGGAGAGUCCCACUCUGGAGCUGCACUCUGAGCCCGGCACAUCUAUGCCAAGCAGCAAUUCUUGCAACCUGCCAAUUGUCUCAUUGGAAGACAGUGGUAUUAUUUUGUCUAUGCCACAAAUUUUACUUCCUUUUUUAAAAACAAACAAAAAAUCUAUUCUUAUAUAUAUAUAAACUACAAACUACACAUCGGCAUUUAAUCACUUAAAGCUACAUUUCAGAACGUUGCCUCCCCCUUCUGGCAGUGGGUGUAAUUGCACUGCCAGAACACUGACGUAAACCUACAGGUUUUUAGUACCUUCUUUUUAGUUAGUGACCCGAAUAUUGCUCCCUUUUUAUCCCAAACUUUAGAAAUUUUCAAAUCACAGAACCUCAGUUACAUUAGUAACCACCGAUUCCCCACUAAAGGUUCCAAGAUACUAGUUUUGUUUUGGUUGUUCUCAUCCUCAGCAGGACUAACGCCUCUGACACGCCCCAGAACACUGCAUGAUACAAACAUGUAUCCACACCUGAUUAACUUAAUCAGCAUUGUGUGAACUUGUUUGUCAAGGGUUUGAAUGUAGCACUUGCAUUUAAAAGUCCUGCACUAAACAGACAAAUUUACACUGCUAAAUACCAGUUGUCGUACGUUUUUCAGUUUUACAUAACAUUUUUACUUUGCCACAAGGUUGAGAAAAAUAUUUUACUUUUACACUCAUUUAGUUCUGAGUUGUCUUCUUUAAAAGACUUUAGAAAACAUCCAGUGUUAUGCAAAAUGCUUUUUGACACUAUAGCAGACCUUCUGUUAUAUAGUCUUUGUCAGUGUGAUGUUAUCUACUUUAAACAAAGGCCUGUGACAAUGUAACAAUAUCAGGGCGGGACACUACAAGGCUUAACAAAACUUUUAACGUUUGCAGGUCCCUUUAAACCCAUAGGCUGUAGGCUAUUAACAGUUCAUCGUCACUUGUUGCACAUGUGGUUGGUUUUGCCUACAGGCUUGGAGUGGGAUGAUGACUUCUUGACUGACUGCCAUUUUCAGCACAACACCCUUUCCCUGCCAACACAGAGCUGGGCUGCUGUGUCCAGACCAGAGCGUUGCUGUCUGUCCCAAACCUGCCUGUUCCUCACCUAUGUCACCGAGUCAGACCUUGAGCUGUGAGAUAAAGGACCGCCAGCCUUGGUCUAAUGGAAAAACUGACUAAUCGUCCAGAUCUCAUCUCUUCACCUCUAAGUCAUCUCCCCUCCUCCCUCCCCUUUUUAUGAUGACUCAGGGAUUUUAAUGGCGUUUUUUAUUCCCUCUGCGCUCCAAAUGGAUUCAAAGCACUUGAUGUUCAUGACAUCACAGCCGAGCAGGGCCGUGUAACAGCGUAUUCAGCUGUCACGGUAGUUGGUAUGACACAAGCGCUCGCUGCGAUGUGGUAAUAGUUGCUUAAUGUUGCUGGUACCUUUCCAGCUGCAAACCACUCCGGAUGUUGUUUUUAAUGCCAGGUAGUGUCCUUGGACCCCAACUUGGAUAGUGUUAGUGUAACAGUGUAGUGUCAACUCGCAUCAACAAAGCGCAAACAUUUCAGUGUCUGAAGUCACACUUUAUGUUGAAACUGUCGCAGAACAUUUGACGCGUCAGGCUUAAUGUUGAGAUAUGAAGGGUAUAAGUUGUUUAGACAGUUUGUUUUGCUCAAACAGAGCAUGCUUGUGGAGGCCCUGUUUGCUUGCCUCAUUACUGAAGUGUAUUCAGCUCAGAAUUUAUCAGCAGCUGUGACAAAAUAAACAGUGUAAGCCUUAGGGCCAAUGGAGGCAGAAACUGAGCAAACUAAAAGUAAUAGAUAAUGUUUCCACAGAGCACAGCAUCAGCGAGGUUUGGUUGAUUAGAUACAAUGUACCUGAGGAGGAAAGGAAAGCUGGCAGGACCAGUCUCAGUGUUCACAAGCACAUGCACGUUCACGCUACGUUUCCAUCACUUCAAAGGACAUUCAACUCAACUCAAGCCAAGUCUUCGCUCUAAAAUUUUAUGAUUUGUAUCACGUAAACUAAUCUAUGCCCCCACAAGAUGAGUAUUGUAUUCCUUAACCCCUAACCAUAAACUUGUUGUAACCUUUACUCUAACCCUGACACUUAACAGGUUUUAACAACAUUAUUUUUCCAAAAAGAAGACCACACACAUGCUCACAUACACACACACACAAAUAUCCACAGGGUGCUCAAGGACAUCAAAAACCAAAAGGUUUUUGCUUCAAAGAGCUGGGAGCGUCCCACCUGUAGUCUGUAGCUAGCCUACAUUAACGUGACAUCCCAACACAAGCAAAGCUAAUGUUGCUAAUAUGUAAAGUAUCGUGGCGCUUAUUUUAACAUUCAUUCAUAGCAUACACAUGGGCAACGUACUGUAUGUCUUUUUUUUAUUGCUUAUUGUCUUUUUUCUAAAGUUUAAGUGUAUAACUGAAUUGGUUUUGUUUAAGCUACCCCGUUCAUGUAUUUUCAAUUUCGUGCAGUAAAAGAGACAGCUAUUCAGUUUUUGCCCAUUAAUUCAGUAGUAGUGGUAGUAGAGUGUAUUUACUUGCCACUUGUGAAAACAUUUGUAACAUUUCCCAGUGAAGCUGAGCUUGUUAGUUGCUAGCUUACUUGUUCAUCGUCAUCGUGGUGAUGUUUCUGAAUGUAUUCAGCGAAAUUAUUAACUUUCCAACAUGACAUGUGAAUUCAUGUGAAUUCAAUGCCCUUUCACACUACAGCUAUGUAAUUCCUCCAGCUCUUGCCUAGAAAAGGCCUUUUCCCGUUUUAGGACAUCACAAGGCAAUUAGCACCACCUACAGCAGCAGCCAUAUUGAUACUCAUGCCUUGUUUUCGCCUCUACCAAAAAAAGAGGGGGUGGGCAGCAGCAGCUUGUCGCUUUUAAAGGCACAGAUGCGCAAAUGGCUUAUUUGGAAAUCCGCUGAAACCAGGGGCAUAAAGACAUGGCAGAAUAAAUGAUCUGUGAGGUAUUUUGAGCUGAAACGUGAAGAAACAUACUCUAUGAACAUGGGAAACUGUCACUAGCUUGUUUAAAAUGGGUAUGAUGUGGGAACUUUAAGUUAGUAGUUCAGUUGAGAACAUAUCAAAGGGCUGUAGAGUGUUUCUGAUUAUACAGUAGAUGGCAUGCUGUGGGACAUUAUUUACCUAAUGAAUGUAUCUCACUACCAUGACACCUCCCAGUUUCUGUAGCCCACUAUCUACCACCGCAGGGAAGGGUAAUAAUCCUAACUGCCAACAGAUGCGUUGGGCUGCCAGGGUUAAAUCGACACAGUGGUAUUACUACAAAUCAGACACACAUCCAUGUGAGGAAGAGCCGUGAUAGUGAUCAUACAGGAAUGCUAAUUAUUAUGUUUUACCAUUAAUUGUGUGGUACGUUUGUUGAGCUAUACUGUGGUUUGAGGGUAUUUGUAAGUACACGUUUCUCCCUAACUGCAGAAGUACCUCUGCAUAAAAACUUUAGGAACUGUUUUUCUGGUAAAAAAGCAAAUAUUGUGACAUCGUUUAAAUGAGACCUGCUCCUGUGCAUUCAGUUGUAGCCUGGAGGACUGUAUUCAAAUGAAGCAGUAGCAGCUGAUAAGCCACAAUGGAAAUUAUGUUAACUGUUCGGAAUAACUAACUUUACUGCUGGCAUUUGGUGAAAAAGUUCAAAUCCUCUCUGCCUUUUUGCAGUGAACCGAAGGUUUUCUCACAUUCAGAUGAGGAUUAAGGCAAAAAUAGAUGUUCACAUUUGAGAAAUGCAGUAGAGUAACAUGUUUUAUAGUGUAUAGGGCACUUGUAUAGAGUGAAUCUGUUUAAGUUCAGUUAAGUCUUCCACCACCAGGAAAUUAAAAACUAAUGUUAAAUGCUUUAUUUUCUUUCAUAAAAGUGUAAUUCACAUAAAAUCCACCUGUACACAAUGGGAACACUUCCAGUUAACGUUGCCCUUUAAACCCUUUGUGUUUUGCAUAUCAUCCUGAAAUUUGCUACACUUGCGAGCACUGGAGUGUGGGAACCAGGAAAUGCAAACAUUUACUUUCAAAUGAUUCGUAUUUUAGAAAAGUCACUGUGAAGCCAAAAAGUGAAGUAUUAUUUUUUUAAAUUCAACGUUAACUAAUUUUAUUAAGAUAAUAUUUGCACGUUAUAAUGUGUGAGUAUAAUUUUCAAUAUAAAAGAUUUAAAUCAAACAUUACACGGAAGAUCAUUCAUUCAUUAUUCAUUUGUUUUGUUUUUUGUUUGUAGUCUUUUUUUCACAUCCACGCAAAUAUUUAAGAGAUGAGUUAAUUUAUAAAGUCAAAUUAACAUAUUUAUUAUAGUAAUGUGAUUGAUUUUUGGAGGCCUGUAAGUUUUUCAUUUGGCUGUAUUUCCUUGUGGGUUGAUUCAUUUUAACAAAAUUUGAGCCUAUGAAUUAAAAAAUGAAAUUAUGCAUUGAUAAAGAAUCAACCAUACGCAGAUUUUUAGGCAGAUGUCCUGAUUCGUUCUGUUUUAUUCUGUGGAAAUGACACAUUGUGCUACACUUAGCUUCAUUUCGCUUCACAAUUGUUUUGUUUACUUAUUUAUUUACACUUUGACCGUAACUGUCCCUUCCAGUUGCAGCGUAAUUAUAUCCCUUUCAUGUACAUUAUUUUGCCAGUACCAGAAGCUUCUAAUUCAAGUAAAGUCAGGUUAAUAAAAUCCUAAAUACUACUGUCUCUCCUUGUCCCGCUGUGCUAGUAUACGCCACAGGUGUCAAACAUGCGGCCCGUGGGCCAAAGGCGGACCACCAGAGGGCCUAAUCUGGAGCGAGAAUUUUCAAAAAUUUACAUAGAAGACUGCAAUUUUUUCAAUGAAAAUAACUGCUUUUAAUCAAUUUGUCCACUGUUGUAGUGCGAGAAGUGGACCGAACAAAACUAUGAGACUAAAGAGAAGACAGCGACGUGCCCAAAUUGAGCGUAUUUUCUUAAUAAUUAAAAAAAAAAAAAAAAAAAAAAAAAAAAAAAAAAAAUUUAAGGAUAGUUUAUUACAUUUUACUUAUAGGUUAUUAUUCUGUUAUGUUACUGACCCGGUCCACUUGAGAUCAAAUUAGACUGAAUGUGGUCCCCAAACUAAUACCCUGAUAUAUGCUAACAAGACAAAACACAAUAAUUCUGUGUUAUUGCAAUAACACAGAAUACAUCAACUAUUUCCUAAAGAGAAGAUAUGCAGAUUUUUUAGUUUUGCUUUUGUUUUUUAAGUGUUGUAGUCAUAUUUUAAUGAACGGGAACUGACUACUUGUUCCUCCUCUAGCUAUGACCCAAAAAAACGAAUUUUUUGCAGUGCUCUGCCACUGAGGACCGAGAGACCGGGGCCGGCCCCUCUGAUUGGCCGAGCAGCGCGACGUGUACAUCAGUCAGCUGCAGGUAGCUCACAUGUGACAGUUAUUAUCUGUGUGCGCGCUGCACGGCGACACACUGCUGCUCCCCUCCGCUCUCUGACUGACUUUAUGGCGCUGACAAUGCCCGACUGGAGGGCGACGCUUUCUCUGUGAACGCUCGCGAGGAGGAUAAAGUAGUUGAACUU
RNA transcript from Mugil cephalus (flathead mullet), 11613 nucleotides. It is a transcript of the gene named basic helix-loop-helix family, member a15, with no coding region annotated. NCBI's taxonomy places the organism in Eukaryota, Metazoa, Chordata, Actinopteri, Mugiliformes, Mugilidae. The record is from RefSeq and is a predicted model, not a curated record. The transcript has 5 exons.